Molecule: ribosomal RNA, 255 nt
Filed under: uncultured bacterium
Lineage: Bacteria
Description: partial 16S ribosomal RNA
Rfam family: Bacterial small subunit ribosomal RNA
Source: RNAcentral
UACGUAGGUGGCAAGCGUUGUCCGGAAUUACUGGGCGUAAAGCGUGCGCAGGCGGUUCUCCAAGUCCGUUGUGAAAGCCCCGGGCUCAACCUGGGAAUGGCAGUGGAAACUAGGGGGACUGGAAUCUGGCAGAGGGGGGGUGGAAUUCCACGUGUAGCAGUGAAAUGCGUAGAGAUGUGGAGGAACACCGAUGGCGAAGGCAGCCUCCUGGGCUAGUACUGACGCUCAUGCACGAAAGCGUGGGGAGCAAACAGG